Molecule: ribosomal RNA, 473 nt
Filed under: uncultured bacterium
Lineage: Bacteria
Description: partial 16S ribosomal RNA
Rfam family: Bacterial small subunit ribosomal RNA
Source: RNAcentral
GAUCAACGCUGGCGGCGCACAUAAGACAUGCAAGUUGAACGGACUUAAUCGAAAUAUUUAUAUUUUGAAGCGGUUAGUGGCGGACUGGUGAGUAACGCGUAAGGAACCUGCCUAUUAGAGGGGAAUAACAGUGAGAAAUCAUUGCUAAUACCGCAUAUGCCAUAGAUAUCACAUGAUAACAGUGGGAAAGGAGCAAUCCGCUAAUAGAUGGCCUUGCGUCUGAUUAGAUAGUUGGUGGGGUAUCGGCCUACCAAGUCGACGAUCAGUAGCCGGACUGAGAGGUUGAACGGCCACAUUGGGACUGAGAUACGGCCCAGACUCCUACGGGAGGCAGCAGUCGGGAAUAUUGCGCAAUGGAGGAAACUCUGACGCAGUGACGCCGCGUAUAGGAAGAAGGUUUUCGGAUUGUAAACUAUUGUCGUUAGGGAAGAGAAAGGACAGUACCUAAGGAGGAAGCUCCGGCUAACUACGUG